RNAcentral lists this ribosomal RNA (501 nucleotides) under uncultured bacterium. Its description in RNAcentral is "partial 16S ribosomal RNA". It matches the Rfam family "Bacterial small subunit ribosomal RNA", at positions 30 to 523 of the family's 1533-position model. The record is from RNAcentral.
AUUGAACGCUGGCGGCAUGCCUUACACAUGCAAGUCGAACGGCAGCACGGGUGCUUGCACCUGGUGGCGAGUGGCGAACGGGUGAGUAAUACAUCGGAACGUACCUUAUCGUGGGGGAUAACGCAGCGAAAGCUGUGCUAAUACCGCAUACGCCCUGAGGGGGAAAGCGGGGGAUCGAAAGACCUCGCGCGAUUAGAGCGGCCGAUGCCUGAUUAACUUGUUGGUGGGGUAAAAGCCCACCAAGGCGACGAUCAGUAGCUGGUCUGAGAGGACAAUCAGCCACACUGGGACUGAGACACGGCCCAGACUCCUACGGGAGGCAGCAGUGGGGAAUUUUGGACAAUGGGGGCAACCCUGAUCCAGCAAUGCCGCGUGAGUGAAGAAGGCCUUCGGGUUGUAAAGCUCUUUUGUCAGGGAAGAAACACCGGCUCUAACACAGUCCGGGAAUGACGGUACCUGAAGAAUAAGCACCGGCUAACUACGUGCCAGCAGCCGCCGUAA